AGAGUUUGAUCCUGGCUCAGGAUGAACGUUGGCAGUGUGCCUAAGACAUGCAAGUCGAACGAAGCGCUAGUGCGGAACUCUUCGGAGGGAAGGAUUAGUGACUGAGUGGCGAACGGGUGAGUAACACGUGGAUGACCUACCCUGAAGUGGGGGAUAACCUUGGGAAACCAGGACUAAUCCCGCAUGUGCUUGUUGGUUGUGACUAACAAGGAAAGACUUAUCGCUUUAGGAUGGGUCCGCGGGCCAUCAGCUAGUUGGUGAGGUAAAGGCUCACCAAGGCAACGACGGCUAGCCGGCCUGAGAGGGUGAACGGCCACAGGGGUACUGAGACACGGACCCCACUCCUACGGGAGGCAGCAGUUAGGAAUCUUCCACAAUGGGCGAAAGCCUGAUGGAGCGACACUGCGUGAGGGAAGAAGGCUUUCGGGUUGUAAACCUCUAAAAGUAGGACGAUAAUGACGGUACUACUUGAGAAGCACCGGCUAACUCCGUGCCAGCAGCCGCGGUAAUACGGAGGGUGCAAACGUUAUCCGGAAUCACUGGGCGUAAAGGGCACGCAGGCGGUUAGUUAAGUCCGAUGUUAAAGCGUGGGGCUCAACCCCAUACGGGCGUUGGAUACUGGCUAACUAGACUCUUGGAGAGGUAAGUAGAAUUACCAGUGUAGCGGUGGAAUGCGUA
Molecule: ribosomal RNA, 678 nt
Filed under: uncultured bacterium
Lineage: Bacteria
Description: bacterial SSU rRNA
Rfam family: Bacterial small subunit ribosomal RNA
Source: RNAcentral